RNAcentral lists this ribosomal RNA (520 nucleotides) under Jonesia sp. ES-dyl2. RNAcentral's name for it is "bacterial SSU rRNA". It matches the Rfam family "Bacterial small subunit ribosomal RNA", at positions 107 to 625 of the family's 1533-position model. The record is from RNAcentral. Lineage: Bacteria; Bacillati; Actinomycetota; Actinomycetes; Micrococcales; Jonesiaceae.
UGAGUAACACGUGAGUAACCUGCCCCCUUCUUCGGGAUAACCAUUGGAAACGGUGGCUAAUACCGGGUAUGACAUCAGAUCGCAUGGUUUGGUGUGGAAAGGUUUUUUCUGGUGGGGGAUGGGCUCGCGGCCUAUCAGCUUGUUGGUGGGGUGAUGGCCUACCAAGGCUUUGACGGGUAGCCGGCCUGAGAGGGCGACCGGCCACACUGGGACUGAGACACGGCCCAGACUCCUACGGGAGGCAGCAGUGGGGAAUAUUGCACAAUGGGGGAAACCCUGAUGCAGCGACGCCGCGUGGGGGAUGAAGGCCUUCGGGUUGUAAACCCCUUUCAGUAAGGAACAAGGCCAUGAUUGUUGUUGUGGUUGAGGGUACUUGCAGAAGAAGCGCCGGCUAACUACGUGCCAGCAGCCGCGGUAAUACGUAGGGCGCAAGCGUUGUCCGGAAUUAUUGGGCGUAAAGAGCUCGUAGGCGGUUUGUCGCGUCUGUCGUGAAAUCCCGAUGCUUAACGUCGGGCUUGCG